GGCGGGGCUUGGGUCAGGCUCCUGGGAGAAGCAGUGACGAGGCUGGGUGCCUGCAGGAAGACCCUCAGCUGGCUGCAUGUUCAGCCCUGCAGGUGGGUCGUGCUCCUGGGAGGAGCAGCGAUGAGGCUGAGUGCCUGUAGGAAGACCCGUGGCUGGCCGCAUGUUCAGCCCUGCAGGGUUAGGUAAUUUUGUGCCCAGCAGAGCAGGGCGGUGCUCUGUCCUCUGGGAAAUACUGCCUUCCUGGAAUGUUCCCUCCAACCCAGAGUGCUGAGAAGGCUGGCAGGAUAGAGGCCAGAACAUGUCUGACGUCAGCGCCAGCCUGGACGGAGAGCUCGGAUCCCAGAGAAGGCUGAGCACAGGGAGGAGAGGGGCAUGGGCCUCUGCAUUUGAGCUGCUCUCGUCCUGAAGUUUGUGCCCUGGGCCCUGUGAGAACUCAGGGGCCAGCCUGUGACACCCCGGCCAGGCCAUGCGAGGGUGGCGCCGGGACGCCGCCCUCUGCGGCUCCUUUGGGGAGCACUGACCAGCACUCAGGGAUGGAUCCGUGCAGCGAGUUGUCGAGAGGAGAGAGUGGAGGAGGACUCCGCAGUAUCCCGGCUGAUGCAUAUUGAGUCAUCCAGAGGAGAGAGAGGGGGAGGACUCCGCAGUAUCCCGGCUGAUGCAUAAUUUGUUCUUCUUAUGCAUUUUACCACCAUUUUGGCUAGCAUUUGGUGCUUCAAGGAACAGCUGUUAGAAGCGAAAAUCAGAGAAAAAGGCAUUUGCGUUUCAAAGGCUUCGCUUUGUGGAUGACACAUCCCAGAGAUAGGAGGAACUCCUGGCAGCAGCCAUAGAUUUGGAAGGAUGCAUCCCCAUCAGAGUUAGAACUUUAAGUUUGGAGACUCUUCUUAAAUUUCACUGAAGUGGAGUGAGAACUGAAGUGGUGGCAAAAAAGGAUGCUCAGGGCACUGCACAUGAGAGAGAAGUCUCAACAGCUGCAGAGGAACCUCCACUUCCCUCCCUCUUCUGCCCCAUCCUCCCUGCAUCUACUGGCUGCCCAGCGCUUGACACGACUCAGCUCAGGGAGCAGGAUCGGGGAAAGGAGCCCUCCUGCCUAACCCUCAACGCAGAAAGAGCAGCGGCUGCGCCAGGACUCCCCAUGAAGUGAAGUGGAAACGAUUUCACAGCAAAUGGGGUGGAUGGCCAGGGGCUCCUGUCAGGUCUGAGACCCGGGGCCGGGAGUGGGCUGGGCAUGUGAGCAGGGCCCCAAACCAUGGGCAUUGGUUCCUGCUUCCUCUACUGUUUCUAUUUUGGCACCUGCUUGAAAGCAGUUCUUCAUCAUCUGGCUAGAUUGUCACAGUUUGGGGUAAAAGAGAAAUAAAACAGGCAACUUCUAUUUCAAUCUGUUCUUGCUGCUGCUUCUAACCGCUGCUUUGUUUGCGCAGUGGGUGGGAUGCACAGGGGCCCUCCAAACUCCAAUCUUGACGUGCCCGCGGGGGCUUUGUGGGAGGCUCCUGCUAACCAGGUUUGGGAAAACCACCAGGCAGUCCUGGCAGUCUGGGCAAGGCCAGGGCUUCCAAGGAAAGAGAAAUGUCUAAG
RNAcentral lists this long non-coding RNA (1572 nucleotides) under Homo sapiens (human). RNAcentral describes it as "PREDICTED lncRNA (TCONS_00146140)". The record is from RNAcentral. Lineage: Eukaryota; Metazoa; Chordata; Mammalia; Primates; Hominidae.